RNAcentral lists this ribosomal RNA (454 nucleotides) under uncultured bacterium. RNAcentral's name for it is "partial 16S ribosomal RNA". It matches the Rfam family "Bacterial small subunit ribosomal RNA", at positions 28 to 507 of the family's 1533-position model. The record is from RNAcentral.
GAUGAACGCUGACAGAAUGCUUAACACAUGCAAGUCAACUUGAACUUCGGUUUGGUUGGCGGACGGGUGAGUCACGCGUAAAGAACUUUCCUCACAGAUAGGGACAACAUUUGUAAACGAAUGCUAAUACCUGAUAUUAUGAUUAUAUGGCAUCGUAUAUUUAUGAAAGCUAUAUUCGCUGUGGGGGAGCUUUUCGUCCAAUUAGCUAGUUGGAGAGGUUACGGCUCACCAUGGCGAUGAUGGGUAGCCGGCCUGGGAGGGUGAUGGGCCACAAGGGGACAGGGACACGGCCCGAACACAAAGGGGAGGAAGAAGUGGGGAAAAUUGGAAAAGGGACCAAGAGUGUGAUCGAGAAAUUCUGUGUGGAAGAUGAAGUUUUUCGGAAUGAAAAGAGCUUUCAGUUGGGAAGAAAAAAAUGACGGUAACAACAGAAGAAGUGACGGCUAAAUACGUG